GUAACACGUGGGCAACCUGCCCUGUAGACGGGGAUAACACCGAGAAAUCGGUGCUAAUACCGGAUAAUACGGAAUGUCGCAUGACGUUUCGUUGAAAGGCGGCGCAAGCUGUCGCUACAGGAUGGGCNCGCGGCGCAUUAGCUAGUUGGUGAGGUAACGGCUCACCAAGGCGACGAUGCGUAGCCGACCCGAGAGGGUGAUCGGCCACACUGGGACUGAGACACGGCCCAGACUCCUAUGGGAGGCAGCAGUAGGGAAUCUUCCGCAAUGGACGAAAGUCUGACGGAGCAACGCCGCGUGAGCGAAGAAGGCCUUCGGGUCGUAAAGCUCUGUUGUUAGGGAAGAACAAGUAGCGCAGUAACUGGCGUUACUUUGACGGUACCUAACGAGGAAGCCACGGCUAACUACGUGCCAGUAGCCGCGGUAAUACGUAGGUGGCAAGCGUUGUCCGGAAUUAUUGGGCGUAAAGCGCGCGCAGGCGGUUCCUUAAGUCUGAUGUGAAAGCCCACGGCUCAACCGUGGAGGGUCAUUGGAAACUGGGGGACUUGAGUGCAGAAGAGGAGAGCGGAAUUCCACGUGUAGCGGUGAAAUGCGUAGAGAUGUGGAGGAACACCAGUGGCGAAGGCGGCUCUCUGGUCUGUAACUGACGCUGAGGCGCGAAAGCGUGGGGAGCAAACAGGAUUAGAUACCCUGGUAGUCCACGCCGUAAACGAUGAGUGCUAAGUGUUAGAGGGUAUCCACCCUUUAGUGCUGUAGCUAACGCAUUAAGCACUCCGCCUGGGGAGUACGCUCGCAAGAGUGAAACUCAAAGGAAUUGACGG
This 821-nucleotide ribosomal RNA is filed under the name uncultured bacterium. Its description in RNAcentral is "bacterial SSU rRNA". It matches the Rfam family "Bacterial small subunit ribosomal RNA", at positions 110 to 916 of the family's 1533-position model. The record is from RNAcentral.